This is a Y RNA of Callithrix jacchus (white-tufted-ear marmoset), 102 nucleotides long. It matches the Rfam family "Y RNA". From Rfam's summary of the family: Y RNAs are components of the Ro ribonucleoprotein particle (Ro RNP), in association with Ro60 and La proteins. The Y RNAs and Ro60 and La proteins are well conserved, but the function of the Ro RNP is not known. The record is from Ensembl. NCBI's taxonomy places the organism in Eukaryota, Metazoa, Chordata, Mammalia, Primates, Cebidae.
GGCUGGUCCGAGUGCAGUGGUGUUUACAACUAAUUGAUCACAACCAGUUACAGAUUUCUUUGUUCCUUCUCCACUCUCACUGCUUCACUUGACUAGCCUUAA